CAGUAGCCGCGGGAAUACGUAGGUCCCGAGCGUUGUCCGGAUUUAUUGGGCGUAAAGCGAGCGCAGGCGGUUAGAUAAGUCUGAAGUUAAAGGCUGUGGCUUAACCAUAGUACGCUUUGGAAACUGUUUAACUUGAGUGCAGAAGGGGAGAGUGGAAUUCCAUGUGUAGCGGUGAAAUGCGUAGAUAUAUGGAGGAACACCGGUGGCGAAAGCGGCUCUCUGGUCUGUAACUGACGCUGAGGCUCGAAAGCGUGGGGAGCAAACAGGAUUAGAUACCCCGGUAGUCCCUGUCUCUUAUACA
This 301-nucleotide ribosomal RNA is filed under the name uncultured bacterium. RNAcentral describes it as "partial 16S ribosomal RNA". It matches the Rfam family "Bacterial small subunit ribosomal RNA", at positions 509 to 808 of the family's 1533-position model. The record is from RNAcentral.